This 1067-nucleotide long non-coding RNA is filed under the name Anser cygnoides (Swan goose). Its description in RNAcentral is "lncRNA (ENSACDG00005007866.1)". The record is from RNAcentral. Lineage: Eukaryota; Metazoa; Chordata; Aves; Anseriformes; Anatidae.
AUAGCAUCUAAGGUUGGAAGCCUAGGGAACGCUCAGGUAAUGCAGCUACGCCCUACCCUGAAAGCCUCUUCAGUGCUGUACAUUUUCUUUAAAAUGUGAAUGUUAGUUUUAUUUUCCUAGUUGCUUUAGGCAGUUAUACCACACUCUGUGCAUGGUCCCUUGUUAGAUUUAUGGAGGUAGUUAAAAGGGAAAAUGUUGCUCUGUUUUUUUCUGUGUUGCGGUCUUAUUUAGGCUUCUUUGGACUGGUUAAAAUCUAUAUAUGAAAUUGAUAUAAUUAACAUAUAGCUGGAAAUAUUUGGUGUUCUCACACUUCAUAAGAAAGUUCAGCUUCUAUAACUUGUUUCUUUCCUAUCUUUUCCCAAAAAAUACAGCCUGGUUUUCCACUUCUGUCAGUGUAGUUUCUGGUAGGUAUUUACUGAUGUGAUAUUAUACAAAUACCUGUUUUUUCCCAUGACCUGGAGGGGUGAGAGGCAGUAGUGUACAGAGAAGCCUCUUUCUUUUUGACUUUUAUAUCUAAUUCUAUUCUAUCCAAAUAGACUUCUUGGGAGACUGUAGGGGGAAAGAAGAAAAACCUUGGAAAAGAAAGUUCAGAAAACAAAGAAAACAGAGAAAAACGAGGGGACAGAGAAGUGAGUCAUGGACGGGGAAGUUCCAACAGAAGGGGAAGAGGAGGCAACCGUUGCCGAGAGUGUAGAGAUGAAGAGAAUGGAGUGGACAACAGUCAAGGAGACAAGCCUUCAGACCGUGGAAAACGUGGCCGUGGGAGAGGUGAGAUGGUGGCAUUGUUGUGGGACUGGCCCUGAUUUCAUUUCCUGAAAUGGAAUCCCCCCCCCCAUGUGUUUACUUAAAAACUUAAGCAUUUGGUUAUCCUUUGAUUCCAUAAGCACUUCAGCCACUUUUAAUUUAGGUACUUGCCAUCCCCCAUAGCCCUUCUCAUCGUUUGGUCUUAGAGUGACUUAAAGGUGAUUUAUAUCAAUUAUUUUUGCAAUUUUUUGUGUGGUAGGCUGGUGUGCUCUGGCUAUCGAGAGCUGUUUUCCCAGAUCAACUUCCAGGCCACCAUUAUUCGG